AUCGAACGCUGGCGGAAUGCUUUACACAUGCAAGUCGAACGGCAGCACGGGGGCAACCCUGGUGGCGAGUGGCGAACGGGUGAGUAAUACAUCGGAACGUGCCCAAUCGUGGGGGAUAACUACGCGAAAGCGUAGCUAAUACCGCAUACGAUCUACGGAUGAAAGCGGGGGAUCGCAAGACCUCGCGCGAAUGGAGCGGCCGAUGGCAGAUUAGGUAGUUGGUGGGGAAAGGCUCACCAAGCCGUCGAUCUGUAGCUGGUCUGAGAGGACGACCAGCCACACUGGGACUGAGACACGGCCCAGACUCCUACGGGAGGCAGCAGUGGGGAAUUUGGACAAUGGGCGCAAGCCUGAUCCAGCCAUUCCGCGUGCAGGAUGAAGGCCCUCGGGUUGUAAACUGCUUUUGUACGGAACGAAAAGCGCUGAGUUAAUACCUCGGCGUCAUGACGGUACCGUAAGAAUAAGCACCGGCUAACUACGUGCCAGCCGCCGCA
RNAcentral lists this ribosomal RNA (494 nucleotides) under uncultured bacterium. RNAcentral's name for it is "bacterial SSU rRNA". It matches the Rfam family "Bacterial small subunit ribosomal RNA", at positions 29 to 519 of the family's 1533-position model. The record is from RNAcentral.